RNAcentral lists this transfer RNA (66 nucleotides) under Drilaster sp. BMNH 840462. Its description in RNAcentral is "tRNA-Asn". Lineage: Eukaryota; Metazoa; Arthropoda; Insecta; Coleoptera; Lampyridae. The record is from RNAcentral.
UUAAAUGAAACCAAAUUUAGAGGUUUAUCACUGUUAAUGAUAAUAAUGAAAAAUAUUCCAUUUAAA